CUGCAUGACCCAGUUGGGAACAAGGAUCCCAUGUUGAUUGACUCCCCACCUUGACAAGUAUCUUGUUGUUGGGAUGACCAGCAUGUGACUAUUGGGACAAGAUAGAAGUAUUUACAAAGCCAACAGUUUUGACCAAUUUAUGCGAAUUAGGGCAGAUUUGAGAGUACACUUAAGAGUUUUAAACUUUGUUUGAAAAAACAAAAAACAGUGUUCUUGGAAUAGUUUCUUUGGAGUAGAGCGCAUAAGGCCAAAUUUUAUCUGAUUGUUGGUGAGCACCUGUGGGUUUUUGUGUUCCUUAUGUAGUAUCCCUUAGGUUUGGGUCGAACAAUGUAAACCUUAUCAUUUCCACUGUUUUUAACAUCUCAAAUGAUGUCCCACGUCCUAGGUGCCAAUCCACAAAUGCCCACUCCUACAUCUUCUCCCUCCUCCCUCCAUUUUGCCACUAUGAUGCUGCUCUAAACUCACCCAACUUUUCGAAACCCACCACUCCAGCCUCCUCCUACGUUCGAGCAUCACAUCUCCACAGGACCAAGGGCCUUCCAUCCCAUUGGUUUCAAAUAAUGCCAUCCUCUGAUAUAUAUUGGUUGGUGGUCUAUUUUCUGGGAAGCUCUGGGUCAUCAGCCAGCAUAUAUUGUUCUUCCUCUAUUGCAGGACCUCUCUGUCACAGGACAUCCACUGUUUAAGCACCACCACUACCUCAGGAAGUCCACUGUCUGUGUGUCAACUCCCACUGUUACAGGACCACAAGUGUCUCAGCACUUCAACUAUCACAGCACUUCUACUGUUCAGGAGCUCAAGAGUCUCAGCAUCUCAAGUGUCACAGGACCUCCUUUGUCCAAGAACUGGACUGUCCAAGCAAUACUGCUAUUGCGGGACCUCCACUGUCACAGGAUUUCCACUGUAGGAGCACUACAACUGUCUCAGGACACCCACUGUCCUAUAACCUCCACUAUCCCAGGAAUUCCACUGUCGUAGCACCACCCGUAGCAACUAAAGUGUUUCAGGACAUCAACUGAAGCAAGAUCUCCCAUGAUUCUGCAACUUCACUGCCCCAGGAUCUCUACAGUGACAGGAAUACUUCUGUAUCAGCAAUUCCAAUUUUGCAGGACCUCCACUGUAGCAGAACCUCAAUUGUGCAGCAGCUCCCCUGUAUGUAGAUUGACCUCCACGAUCUCAGUGCCUCCACUUUCAAAGGACCUUCACUGUCACAGAACCGGCGCUAUUUCAGUGCCUCCACUGUCGCAGGACCUACCUCUUCACAGGAUCUGCACUGUUGCAGCAACUGUAAUUUCAAUUUUUCAAAGUCAUUGCUGGUUAUUAGAUUUCAGGCUGAAUGAAAUGAGAUGUUACUUUUGAAAGCAUAAGAAUUUGUUCUAUACCUCUUGUGAUAAAUGCCGUGUUUGCUAGGACCAGUAAACUAUGGAAGACUUCUUCAGCUCAUACCACUCUCCACCUCACUUUGUGGAAGCUGGUGUUUUUAGAGUGUGAUAAACUUCAGGUGAAUGGAUGCAUUCAGCUGCACCACGCUCUAGAGUGGACUACACAGCAGUCAUAUUGAGUCCUUGCUGGGAAGAGAAGAAAUCCAGAAGAAGGAGAAGGCUUGGGUUGGGGGAAGAAUCAUAAAAUACUUAGAGGAUAUUAGAAGGUAAGAAUUAUGGGGAACUGGAAAACAGAGCCAAAGGAAGAAUGAGCACAGAGCAAACUGGGAAGGACAAAGUACAAAGGCACUUGGGUUUUGCCAUCUGCGUGUUCUCUGGACAAUCUCCCUGGGCCACAUUUCUGGGAGAAAACUCUUCCCCCACCCCCUUGUAAGGUUUCAUUCUUGAAGGAAAGCAGCAACACAACUUCAUCAGUGAAUUUCCCCAUUGGAAUUGGUUCAUCCUUUAAUGCUUCUGGGAAAUCCCGAGCUGGGGAAUGUCCUGCUCUCUGCUGAGAGACAGCAGGAAAGUAGGUCGUCCUCUGUUUUCUCGUUGCUACAGCUCUUCUAAGUAUGGCUGAUUGUUGAGUGAAGACACAGGAUACUUCUGGUGUGUAUGUAUGCUUUGUUCACUGUGGGUGUUGUUGGGAGUGUCCUGAAAAGAAGGGCAUGCCCAAUGGCACUUCUGCUUCCUCUUUGACUAGCCUUAUGAUCAUAGGGAGACACUAGGCCAUUGGAAGAUGAGGAGAGCAAUGUGUCUAAGUUGUGUUCACUUCUAUUCCUAUUUAGUCCUAGAGGGAAAUCAGCAAGGGUGUGAGGAAUGCUGCUGUGCACUGACUGUGUGGUGUGAGGAAUGCUGCUGUGCACUGACUGUGUGGUGUGAGGAAUGCUGCUGUGCACUGACUGUGUGGUGUGAGGAAUGCUGCUGUGCACUGACUGUGUGGUGUGAGGAAUGCUGCUGUGCACUGACUGUGUGCUGUGAGGAAUGCUGCUGUGCAUUGACGCUGCCUUUUUUCUUUUCUCCCUACACCUGCAUCCUUCUGGUGGCUCAGGUUGGACAACUAGGUGCCCAUGACCAACUCCUCAUUGUGGAUGGAUUUAGUCUGGUUGGACUUUCUCAGGAAAGGCAGCUGAACUCAUGACUAGUACCAGUUCCACGGUUACCCUGGAAGUUGCAAAUCAAGACAUCCUCUCUCACUGCCUGUCCACCUUUCUUACCAACCCAUUGUCCUCCAUGGUGCAGAGAGACAGUUCUACAGUGGUGUCUAUGGUUAAGUGCCAGGCAGUGAGAACCCAGGAGUGAUAUUCAGAGGUACAAAGGAUGACCUGCAGGUGUGUGCAGCCGUGCCAGUCUUGUUCACCAUGGGAUGGAAGCGGUCCCUGACCUGUGAGCCUAGAGGUGACCAGGUGCUCCAUUCUGAGACUGAGAGAGGCAGGAUGCCCACUCAAGGGUCCAUAGCAGGGAAGGUUUUCAAGCUAUGUACAGUGCUGGAAAAGCCUACACAGGGCAUACAGUUAGCAGUGAUGUGUUUGCAGGGAGUCCAAGGAACCAGCUUUGUACUGAUGCAGGCCUGUCAUCAGUGCCUUGGCGUUUGUGGGACUCAUCCACAGAGGCAUGCAACUCAGAGAACGGUACCCCAACUUGGUGCACAGGAACUCUUUCAGGUGUCACUUGAUUGUCACAGGUUUCUGCUCGGUCAGCAAGGAAGGGAAGCCUAGCCCUGUGCCAGGAAUGACUGCAUAUGGUCAACACACACUACCCUGGAAGACCCGAGAGUUCAAGGACGGCCAACUUUCACUUAAGCAAACUUGUCCACAGACUGCGUGGGUCCCAUCAGCUGAGAGUAGCCUCCACAUUGCAGUGAUGUGCAAACUUCUGCCUUUCAGCCAUGAUGGACUUUAGGAUCUAACCUGAGGACCCUACACAAGGCACAGGUAGGUGAUGUGUAAAUGAGGCAUGUUACUGGGUCAGGUCUUCAGUGCAGUGUCUUAAGCUGUCAGGCUUUUGGGAGGGCAUAUGCUUCUCUAUUAAAUGAGCUGGCUUCUCUGAAGGCCUCAACUCUGCUGUGUCUGCCGCUCAUGCUCCCUCCUCCAAGAAUCUAACUGUCCCUAGCUCUCUGUGACUGGCUGGUCAGUCAGCCUUCAUGCCACUCCACAGCCACUCUACAACACAGAGCCCACACUGUCCUCUGCAGAAGUUUCACAGGGCUGCUGCUUUAGUCUCUCUGUUGCGCUAUGGGGGUCCAAAGUCAAGUUUCUUAGGUCCCUAGGUGUCCCUGAAAAGGCUCUAGAACAAGGAAGAGGUGAAGAAAUCAGGAAAUAAACUCCUGCAGUACUUCAUGACUACCACUGGAGGGCUCUACACCUUUCUGGUCCUAGUGUGCCACUCAGCAAGCCCUCUCACUCACUCUAAGGUUCUGAGCCUGAUGGAGAGGACUCCUGCUAAACCCAGUGUUCCCAAGAAACUGGCUGUACCGGCAGGGCUAACUGUAGAGGAUUCUCCACGACCCUGAGAACACAAUUUGGAAAUCUCAGGUAGGCAGGGUGUGUGGGGGAGCAACCAGGGCUGGAUGGAGACCUUACCCAGAA
RNAcentral lists this small RNA (4006 nucleotides) under Rattus norvegicus (Norway rat). RNAcentral's name for it is "uncharacterized LOC102556873". The record is from RNAcentral. Lineage: Eukaryota; Metazoa; Chordata; Mammalia; Rodentia; Muridae.